This is a long non-coding RNA of Equus caballus (horse), 2737 nucleotides long. Lineage: Eukaryota; Metazoa; Chordata; Mammalia; Perissodactyla; Equidae. The record is from Ensembl.
CUCGACGCCGGCAUCGCUUCCCCGAGGCCAACAGGUCUCCCGAGUCUCUCCCGGGGCCGGAGCGCCGCCGGCGCCACUCUCCCGCCCGGGCGGCGGGACGCCCUAGGAGGCCGGGUCUGUAGCAGCAGCCAAACCACCUGUGAUCGGCCCGGCCCGGCCCCGGCGCUGGUUCCAGAGGCCCGCGAGGACCAUGUCCCGCUCCUCGAAAGACCAGGGUCCCUACAGUCACCCAACGGCCGCCUCGGAACCCUGCGGUCGGCCAAGAGUUGCUUUUUCUUACCCGUUUGGAAGCCAAACAAUCCCAAAUUCCUAGCAAGUGGCAUCGAGGCGAUUUUCCAAAAUAAAAUUCUCCUAAAAUAAUCCGAAUGUUCUCUAUUUUGAUCGUGUUGCCUUGAAAGACAAACUCAGAUUCACUUGGUUAGUUAGUACUUUGGGAGCUGACGGUCGAGGAAUUUAAAAAAUAUAUCAUGUAAUUUAUUUUUUUAAGUAACGGUCUGACUCGCAUAAAUAUUUUAAACCCCUCGUUUGGUUUUGUUAGUUUUCAAAUAGAAAUAUUAUCUUUUGAAACGGGAAAUAAUGUUUCUCAAGUUUAAAAUCUGGCCAACUCUUUUUUUUUUUUUUUUUUUUUUUGGUAAAUACUCUGUACUUCUUUAAAAUUUCCAUGCUGGCUAGACAAUUGAAAUUAUACAAAAGGAUCUUUAAACUCUUCCAGUUUCAUAAAGAGGGGAAGUGCUAGGUAUUUGUAUGAAUGCCUAAACAAUAUCGAAUCUUCAAUCAAAAAUGGUUACAUCUAGAGUAAAUAAAUGAUCGUUUUAAGAAGAUAAUAAAUAAAAAGUGACGCCGCGCUUAGCGUCUCAGAGCAACUUGAAAACAGCUCCACUUUCAGAAAGUUAAAUUUGUCCUUUUUACAAUCAACUGCAACUUUUGCCUUCCCUUUGAAAGGACAACAAAAAGAUUUCACGCACAACUUGACCUGAACAAAAGAACCUCACGCCAGUUUUUCUUUUGUGGGGUGACAACUAGAAGAGAGGAAAACUUUAGUUCAAGAAUACUUGAAUCAUACUUUUGGAAACCCACUGUAAAAAGAAAAUGCGACCGCAGAUCUACACCUUUUAAAACCGAAGCUAGAGGGUUUUGAGGGAGAAAGAUCACGGGGCAGGAACUGAAAGCCAGUGAGAAAAUGCAUCAUCGUUCUCAGGCUAACAAGUGCAACCUUCUUUUAGAGAAAAAGCUACGUUCUUGUGAGAGCCACGCUCUUGGGUCCCAGCCCUACCCCCAGCCCAAAAAAAAGAAGCCCUCUGAUCUUUGCGGGUUCGAAUCCUCAAAUUCCCCUUCACUUUUUUGAAUUUCAUUUUCCAAGUCAAAUUAUUUCUCCCAUCAGCUUCCGCAGUGGUAGCAGCCGCGAAAACAGACCAGAGAAGAUUCUGUGGCGGGCCCCGAAUUCGGGGGAAAGGAAGUGCCCUAAUAGGGGCGACAGUCCGGGCACCCAGCCCCGGCGACAGUUACCUCACGUCCGGAACUGAGGCCCGGGCACCCACUCCCGCCCAAACUCCCGCCGCGAGGGUGCGGGGGAAGCCAGAGAGGGCAGGGAAGGUGAAGGACAGAAAUGUAUGUGUGUGUGUGCCCUUGAGGCCACCAAACUCCAACAGUGCCGAUCUAUGAGAGUGGACGGGGGCGACCAAGGUUGGCGGACCUAGUCCCCGGCUUUCUUUAAAAAUUCAACUGGCAUCUGAAAAGUGUUAGUGAAAUUCUGAGCUGAGAGGCCGAAGCGAGUUAGUGGGGCCGGGCUUCGGUUUUAGUUUUCUUCUCCCUGUGCUCAACCAGCCUGAGCUUUCAGGCAGAAGAAAAUUGAAGCUAAUGGAGAUAUCAAACAGAGCCACAAUCCCGAAGGCUUCUUUUCCGCCAUCAGCACCCACCGUCCGUCGGCAAGUGUAAUCACAGAGACUUGCGGCGUCUUCAUCACCACGGGCUCCGAGAAGAGGGGAGAAAAUUCUCCGUUGUUAAAAGGAACUCUCUAUUACCACUAUUAUUAUUUAUGUAUAGCAACAUAAGAAUGUCCCCCUCCUCUUAAAAUUCCCCCACAAUAUUGAAACGGCAUUUGUUGUCUGAUUCAUACAAUGCUUGAGGCCUUUCUGGAAAACCAUUACCAUUCAAUGGCUAGAAAAUUGCUCUCCUUCCUUUAAAAAAAACAAAAACAAAAAAAGGGCAGGCGCAGCAGCAGCUACAACAGACAACAAAAACUUUCUCCUGCAUAAUCCUCGCUCACGGAAUGACAAAGAAAUGAUAUUGACUUACCCCUGAACGGAUGAUGUGUUUGAUAAGGAGGGGACUUUUUUGAAGAUUUCUGUUCGGGAGCUGCACAGACAGCUGCAAUUCCUGGGCGACGCUGAUUGCCAGAAACGCUAUGGAUUGGCAUGGGGUCUGCAGCUCACAGAUCCUGAUCAAUACCCCUACACUCACACGCCAGAUGGUUUGGGGAAGGACAAAAAUAAAAUAGUCCAAAUCAACCCACCAUUAUGUCUUUUUGUAUUGUUCUGAUAAACCUAGUUGUAGCACAAAUGUGUUGAGCCCAAAACAAAACCUUCCUCAGGAUUCUGAACAUUUGGGUGGAAAUAAGCAGCCCCCUCUUCCCUGAAUUUGGGCUGUGGUUACUGUUGUUUAGUAAAAACAAAGCUGUGGGGCCCCUUAUCCAGAUUGGGUUUACUUGUGGUCUGUUUAUUUUUUUCGUGAAUAAUUU